GACGAACGCUGGCGGCGCGCUUAACACAUGCAAGUCGAGCGAGAACCAGGGCUUCGGCCCUGGGGACAGCGGCGAACGGGUGAGUAACACGUGGGUAAUCCACCCUCGGCACCGGAAUAGCCCGGGGAAACCCGGAUUAAUGCCGGAUGGCCCGCCGGCCCUGCGGGGCUGGCGGAACAGGUAGCUUCGGCCUCCGGCCGAGGACGAGCCCGCGACGGAUUAGCUUGUUGGUGGGGUAACGGCCUACCAAGGCUGCGAUCCGUAGCUGGUCUGAGAGGACGAUCAGCCACACUGGGACUGAGACACGGCCCAGACUCCUACGGGAGGCAGCAGUGGGGAAUCUUGCGCAAUGGGCGAAAGCCUGACGCAGCGACGCCGCGUGAGGGAAGAAGGCCUUCGGGUUGUAAACCUCUUUCAGGAGGGACGAAGCCACUCGGGUUAAUAGCCCAGAGGGUGACGGUACCUCCAGAAGAAGCCCCGGCUAACUACGUGCCAGCCGCCGCAGUAA
RNAcentral lists this ribosomal RNA (508 nucleotides) under uncultured bacterium. RNAcentral's name for it is "partial 16S ribosomal RNA". It matches the Rfam family "Bacterial small subunit ribosomal RNA", at positions 28 to 523 of the family's 1533-position model. The record is from RNAcentral.